UACAGAGGUCUCAAGCGUUGUCCGGAUUUAUUGGGCGUAAAGAGCGUGUAGGCGGCUUGGAAGGUCAGCUGUGAAAACUCGAGGCUCAACCUCGAGACGUCGGUUGAAACCACCUGGCUAGAGUCCGGAAGAGGAGUGUGGAAUUCCCGGUGUAGCGGUGAAAUGCGCAGAUAUCGGGAAGAACACCCGUGGCGAAGGCGGCACUCUGGGACGGUACUGACGCUGAGACGCGAAAGCGUGGGGAGCGAACAGG
RNAcentral lists this ribosomal RNA (253 nucleotides) under uncultured bacterium. RNAcentral describes it as "partial 16S ribosomal RNA". It matches the Rfam family "Bacterial small subunit ribosomal RNA", at positions 524 to 776 of the family's 1533-position model. The record is from RNAcentral.